GGGGAGAUGAUGAUAUAACUUUCCCCAUAUGAUCGACUAUGAUUCCAACCACUGCUUUCUGCUCUUCGGAGCUCAAGCCAGUCGAUUCUGAUCCCC
This is a non-coding RNA of Picea glauca (white spruce), 96 nucleotides long. The record is from Rfam. Lineage: Eukaryota; Viridiplantae; Streptophyta; Pinopsida; Pinales; Pinaceae.